GAGGGGAACUAGGGAUCUUCCGCAUGGACGAAAGUCUGACGGAGCAACGCCGCGUGAGUGAUGAAGGUUUUCGGAUCGUAAAGCUCUGUUGUUAGGGAAGAACAAGUGCCGUUCAAAUAGGGCGGCACCUUGACGGUACCUAACCAGAAAGCCACGGCUAACUACGUGCCAGCAGCCGCGGUAAUACGUAGGUGGCAAGCGUUGUCCGGAAUUAUUGGGCGUAAAGGGCUCGCAGGCGGUUUCUUAAGUCUGAUGUGAAAGCCCCCGGCUCAACCGGGGAGGGGCAUUGGAAACUGGGGAACUUGAUGAAAAAAGAUUUUAUUUUAAAAAAAAAA
RNAcentral lists this ribosomal RNA (335 nucleotides) under Bacillus amyloliquefaciens. RNAcentral describes it as "partial 16S ribosomal RNA". It matches the Rfam family "Bacterial small subunit ribosomal RNA", at positions 345 to 674 of the family's 1533-position model. Lineage: Bacteria; Bacillati; Bacillota; Bacilli; Caryophanales; Bacillaceae. The record is from RNAcentral.